GUGCCACUAGAGUCUGUUUUGGUAAACACAUUCAGAAUGUCUAACUCAAGAACUUUUCUAGAUCUUUUUGUCUAAAAGUGCAUAAAAUGCCAAACGACGUGUUAAAAGUGCGGUUACCGUCGGCCGUCGGCGUUAGCGAAUAAAAGACGCCACAGACAAAUCGAACCCGUUGGAAGCAACAUAAGUUAAUUGGCUUUGAUAUUAAAUAAUUUCACACCAGAACUUCAACAAUCAAGGGCGUGUUAUUGUUUUCCAUGCGGGGCGCGCACACGACGCCUGGAAGCCAUUCUAUGCUCGCGCAGCAGCGAAACGCCGGCGUUGCACAGCGGUGUCACAGAGCCACCGCGCUGCGAUCACUUCGGCGACACAAUCCAAAUUUGUCGGACAUCUCAUUCUGUGCUGGAAACACUGGGAGGCAGGAAGUUUGAAAAAUCGGUCAUUGCCGCCCGCAAUGUCUCGGUCGUGGGCUGGUCGUGGGUUCGUUAUUCCAGUUGUGCGUCAUUCUAAGCCGUUCUGUACAUUUAUACUGGAUAUUAAUUGGAGUCAUUUAGCUGUGCUGAUGCUGUUUGCCGUGUGUUUUGCAUCAGUGCUUCGUGACAUCGGCUGUAUUGCGUGUUUUCGCCGACGGCUUACUACCACAAUGGCAGGAUCUGCGUUCGCCGCCUUCGUGUCUCGGUGCGUCUUUGUACGUCGCACGUUCGGAUAACACUUUUUCCGACGGCUGGACAUCCUUAUUGUACCUUGGCGCUAGCUGGAUGACGGGACCUCAUCAUGAUCAGUGUAUUGCUUGCCUAUGUCUACAAGAACCGUCACGCGUGGCCUGUAACAGCAAGCUUUUGUGGGCAGCAAGUGCUCUCCUACGAAGGCUGGCCUACUCUGGCAGCGGCGGCAAAUCAUCUUCAAGAUUUAUCCAUAAUCACCUUUGCUGCUAUUUGUCACUCUUGUUGAUUACACUUUCUGCGUCUUUUCUAAUUUAUUAGGUAAUAAAGUAUGAGUAUGUGA
This is a non-coding RNA of Dermacentor andersoni, 1002 nucleotides long. NCBI's taxonomy places the organism in Eukaryota, Metazoa, Arthropoda, Arachnida, Ixodida, Ixodidae. The record is from RefSeq and is a predicted model, not a curated record.